Molecule: long non-coding RNA, 378 nt
Organism: Oncorhynchus nerka (sockeye salmon)
Lineage: Eukaryota; Metazoa; Chordata; Actinopteri; Salmoniformes; Salmonidae
Exons: 3
Source: RefSeq, a predicted model, not a curated record
UAGUUGUCAUAAUAUCAGUCUGUCUUUGAGAUGGAGUCUUCAGAACUCUUCUACUUAUUCUGGGUCUGCUGGGGAACCUAGAGGCCAGAGAUUGUCCCUGGGGCUUCAUAGCCAAAGGGAGAACACUGUGUGUUGAUAUAGAUGAGUGUAAAGAGUGGGACAGUAACCCACCCUGUGGAAGUAAUGCCGCAUGUUACAACACACAGGGGAGCUUCUACUGUCACUGUCUACCUGGGUUCAUAUCCACAACGACUGUCCAGUUUACUGCUCUCACUGGGGAGUGUAAGGACCUCGAUGAGUGUCAGGGGAAACUACAGGUUUGUACCAGCAAUGCCAUUUGCCUCAACACCAUCGGGAGCUUCAACUGCCAAUGCCAAC